GAUGAACGCUGGCGGCGUGCCUAAUACAUGCAAGUCGAGCGAACAGAUGAGGAGCUUGCUCCUCUGACGUUAGCGGCGGACGGGUGAGUAACACGUGGAUAACCUCCCUAUAAGACUGGGAUAACUUCGGGCAACCGGAGCUAAUACCGGAUAAUAUAUUGAACCGCAUGGUUCAAUAGUGAAAGACGGUUUUGCUGUCACUUAUAUAUGGAUCCGCGCCGCAUUAGCGAGUUGGUAAGGUAACGGCUUACCAAGGCAACGAUGCGUAGCCGACCUGAGAGGGUGAUAGGACACACUGGAACUGAGACACGGUCCAGACUCCUACGGGAGGCAGCAGUAGGGAACCUUCCGCAAAGGGCGAAAGCCUGACGGAGCAACGCCGCGUGAGUGAUGAAGGUCUUCGGAUCGUAAAACUCUGUUAUUAGGGAAGAACAAAUGUGUAAGUAACUAUGCACGUCUUGACGGUACCUAAUCAGAAAGCCACGGCUAACUACGUG
This 497-nucleotide ribosomal RNA is filed under the name uncultured bacterium. RNAcentral describes it as "partial 16S ribosomal RNA". It matches the Rfam family "Bacterial small subunit ribosomal RNA", at positions 28 to 507 of the family's 1533-position model. The record is from RNAcentral.